GGAUGCGAUCAUACCAGCACUAAAGCACCGGAUCCCAUCAGAACUCCGAAGUUAAGCGUGCUUGGGCAAGAGUAGUACUAGGAUGGGUGACCUCCUGGGAAGUCCUCGUGUUGCAUUCC
RNAcentral lists this ribosomal RNA (119 nucleotides) under Setaria viridis. The record is from RNAcentral. Lineage: Eukaryota; Viridiplantae; Streptophyta; Magnoliopsida; Poales; Poaceae. RNAcentral also lists the same sequence under 6 other names.